CGGGUGAGUAAUGUAUGGGGAUCUGCCUGAUGGCGGGGGAUAACUACUAGAAACGGUAGCUAAUACCGCAUAAUGUCUACGGACCAAAGCGGGGGACCUCCGGGCCUCGCGCCAUCAGAUGAACCCAUAUGGGAUUAGCUAGUAGGUGAGGUAACGGCUUACCUAGGCGACGAUCCCUAGCUGGUCUGAGAGGAUGAUCAGCCACACUGGGACUGAGACACGGCCCAG
This 228-nucleotide ribosomal RNA is filed under the name uncultured bacterium. RNAcentral describes it as "partial 16S ribosomal RNA". It matches the Rfam family "Bacterial small subunit ribosomal RNA", at positions 103 to 334 of the family's 1533-position model. The record is from RNAcentral.